This 804-nucleotide ribosomal RNA is filed under the name uncultured Bacillota bacterium. RNAcentral describes it as "bacterial SSU rRNA". It matches the Rfam family "Bacterial small subunit ribosomal RNA", at positions 71 to 853 of the family's 1533-position model. Lineage: Bacteria; Bacillati; Bacillota. The record is from RNAcentral.
AAAACCCCGCAAGGGGUUAGUAGAGUGGCAAACGGGUGAGUAACGCGUGGGUGACCUGCCUUCGAGUGGGGGAUAACGUUCCGAAAGGGACGCUAAUACCGCAUGACAUCCUGCCUUUCAAGAGGUGGAGAUCAAAGCUGGGGAUCGCAAGACCUAGCACUCGAAGAGGGGCCCGCGUCCGAUUAGCUAGUUGGUGAGGUAACGGCUCACCAAGGCAACGAUCGGUAGCCGGCCUGAGAGGGCGGACGGCCACACUGGGACUGAGACACGGCCCAGACUCCUACGGGAGGCAGCAGUGGGGAAUUGUUCGCAAUGGGCGCAAGCCUGACGACGCAACGCCGCGUGGAGGAUGAAGAUCUUCGGGUCGUAAACUCCUUUCGAUCGAGACGAAUUCCUCCGGGGUGAAUAAUCCCGGAGGUUGACGGUACCGAGAGAAGAAGCCCCGGCUAACUCCGUGCCAGCAGCCGCGGUAAUACGGGGGGGGCAAGCGUUGUUCGGAAUUACUGGGCGUAAAGGGCUCGUAGGCGGCCAACUAAGUCAGACGUGAAAUCCCUCGGCUUAACCGGGGAACUGCGUCUGAUACUGGAUGGCUCGAGUUUGGGAGAGGGAUGCGGAAUUCCAGGUGUAGCGGUGAAAUGCGUAGAUAUCUGGAGGAACACCGGUGGCGAAGGCGGCAUCCUGGACCAACACUGACGCUGAGGAGCGAAAGCCAGGGGAGCAAACGGGAUUAGAUACCCCGGUAGUCCUGGCCCUAAACGAUGAAUGCUUGGUGUGACGGGUAUCGAUCCCUGUCGUGCCGAAGCU